Transfer RNA from Pyrenochaeta sp. DS3sAY3a, 141 nucleotides. It matches the Rfam family "tRNA". From Rfam's summary of the family: Transfer RNA (tRNA) molecules are approximately 80 nucleotides in length. Their secondary structure includes four short double-helical elements and three loops (D, anti-codon, and T loops). Further hydrogen bonds mediate the characteristic L-shaped molecular structure. tRNAs have two regions of fundamental functional importance: the anti-codon, which is responsible for specific mRNA codon recognition, and the 3' end, to which the tRNAs corresponding amino acid is attached (by aminoacyl-tRNA synthetases). tRNAs cope with the degeneracy of the genetic code in two manners: having more than one tRNA (with a specific anti-codon) for a particular amino acid; and 'wobble' base-pairing, i.e. permitting non-standard base-pairing at the 3rd anti-codon position. NCBI's taxonomy places the organism in Eukaryota, Fungi, Ascomycota, Dothideomycetes, Pleosporales, Cucurbitariaceae. The record is from Rfam.
GCCGGUUUGGCGCAGUGGUAACGUAAGUCCACUCUGAACAAUUUCUCAUACCAAAUGCCCUUCUAACAUGGUAAUACAGGCGUCGCACUUGUAAUUAUCAUGCAUAUGCGAAGAUCGGCGGUUCAAUUCCGCCAAUCGGCA